UUUCCGUAGGUGAACCUGCGGAAGGAUCAUUACCGAGUGAGGGUCUCUCAGGCCCGACCUCCCACCCUGUGUUUUUGUGACCUUGUUGCUUUGGCGGGUCCGAGUCGAUGAGAGGCCGCCGGAAGCCCACCACUUUGGGCCUGUGUCUGUCACUUGUGCACUUAAAUUCUUAAUAAACCUGUCGUCCGAAACCAGAUCUAAUAAAAAAAACUUUCAACAACGGAUCUCUUGGUUCUG
RNAcentral lists this unclassified non-coding RNA (237 nucleotides) under plant metagenome. RNAcentral's name for it is "partial contains small subunit ribosomal RNA, internal transcribed spacer 1, and 5.8S ribosomal RNA". The record is from RNAcentral.